AAUGAACGCUAGCGGCAGGCCUAAUACAUGCAAGUCGAACGAUAGUAUUAAGCUUGCUUAAUAUGAAAGUGGCGCACGGGUGCGUAACGCGUAUGAAACCUACCUUAAUCAGGGGGAUAGCCUUUCGAAAGAAAGAUUAAUACCGCAUAAUAUCACGAUGGGGCAUCCUGUUGUGAUCAAAUAUUUAUAGGAUUAAGAUGGUCAUGCGUGACAUUAGCUAGUUGGAGAGGUAAUGGCUCACCAAGGCGACGAUGUCUAGGGGAUCUGAGAGGAUGG
RNAcentral lists this ribosomal RNA (276 nucleotides) under uncultured bacterium. Its description in RNAcentral is "partial 16S ribosomal RNA". It matches the Rfam family "Bacterial small subunit ribosomal RNA", at positions 29 to 303 of the family's 1533-position model. The record is from RNAcentral.